CAAUAGCGUAUAUUAAAGUUGUUGCGGUUAAAAGCUCGUAGUUGGAUUUCUGCUGAGGACGAUCGGUCCGCCCUCUGGGUGAGCAUUGACUCGGCCUUGGCAUCUUCUUGGAGAACGCUACUGCACUUGACUGUGUGGUGCGGUAUCCAGGACUUUUACUUUGAGGAAAUUAGAGUGUUUCAAGCAGGCUCACGCCUUGAAUACAUUAGCAUGGAAUAAUAAGAUAAGGCCUUGGUUGUAUUUUGUUGGUUUCUAGAAUUGAGGUAAUGAUGAACAGGGAUACUUGGGGGCAUACGAAUUUAAUUGUCAGAGGUGAAAUUCUUGGAUUUGUUAAAGACGGACUACUGUGAAAGCAUUUGCCAAGAAUGUUUUCAUUGAUCAAGAAUGAAAGUUAGGGGGUCGAAGACGAUCAGAUACCAU
This 420-nucleotide ribosomal RNA is filed under the name uncultured eukaryote. RNAcentral describes it as "SSU rRNA". It matches the Rfam family "Eukaryotic small subunit ribosomal RNA", at positions 592 to 1018 of the family's 1831-position model. The record is from RNAcentral.